RNAcentral lists this small RNA (57 nucleotides) under Panthera tigris altaica (Amur tiger). RNAcentral's name for it is "GNAS antisense RNA 1 conserved region 1 (ENSPTIG00000001692.1)". The stretch from base 12 to 57 matches the Rfam family "GNAS antisense RNA 1 conserved region 1", at positions 60 to 105 of the family's 105-position model. The record is from RNAcentral. Lineage: Eukaryota; Metazoa; Chordata; Mammalia; Carnivora; Felidae.
GGGGAACUCGGUUUCGGCUCGGGUGGGGCUAAGUCUGGAAUCCGUAACCUGGAGGUG